UUAAAUAUUUUUUUUAUUUUUUGGGCCGAAAUAAAGGAUAAUGCCCAUAUAUGUGAAUUGGGUUCAUAUUCUUGUUAAAGUUACCCUGCUUCACAAACGGCCCAAUAGUCAAGUUCAAUCAUUGUCAUGAACCUGAGGCCACUCGAUAAGUUAAGAACUUAAGAUGUUACGGUGUUAGUGUGUUACCCAAGUAUAUGGUUCAGAGUUCCGACUGUGAUUCUCCAGUGUUUCGAUUUACUGACACAUGUAAGAUAUGUUCAAUACUGUGUUCUCAGCUUUUUCUUUAAAUUUUUUAAGUGCAACUUGUGGCAUUUUUAUUUAUUUAAUUAUUUUCAUUCCUUCACUUAUUCUUUUGUUGAUUUUUCUUAAAUUUAUUAAUCA
This 381-nucleotide long non-coding RNA is filed under the name Brassica rapa (field mustard). Its description in RNAcentral is "long non-coding RNA (BRAP_LNC006140)". Lineage: Eukaryota; Viridiplantae; Streptophyta; Magnoliopsida; Brassicales; Brassicaceae. The record is from RNAcentral.